GCUGCACGAAUGAGGAAAAAUAGUGCGGAGGAAAUGGGAUGGAGCACAGCCGACUUUCACAAUAAUGUGUGACGUCGAAUUUAAUUGGAAAUGGCGUUUCACCAGCAUCCUGGUCUCGUUGGAUUGCAUAAAGAGCACUGACACAGCGACAGUGUUUUAUUUUAUCUCCAUAGCAGCAAAACAACAUUGUGUCUAAGAGAUGUUCUGGAGCAGAAGGAUUGUGACUCUUUAAAAUAGACUGAGGAACAGGAGCUCCUGACCCAUAAUCCUCUGCUCUUCGGCUCCGGUCUGUUUCCAACAAUACCAACCCAUCCAGCCCCUGGAUUAACACCGACACACUGUGUGAGAUACUAUGACUCUACUAGAGAGAAGAAGGAGAACACUUGACACAUGAACUCAGGAAUCAUUCAUGUGCUGCAGUCUCUGUUUAAUACAACAGCAAACAUCACUAAUACAACAUUGUGAUCUUAUAUCACAUAAUGCACUGCUUCUCUGCUUCUGGUUCCAUUAAGAACCCUUAACAUCCAUGGAAUCUUUCCAUUCCACUUAAGGUUCUUUAAAGUGGAAAAAUGUUGAGAAAGAACAUCUUUUUUUUUUUUUUUUGCAUAGAGUUAAUCAAGGUCCUGUGGGACAUCCGACACCCGAGUGUCUGUCCUGGAAGGGACGUCCCGAGCCGUCAGUGCUGUUAAUGACAGCGGGAUCAGACAGAGCUGCUCAUUGUCUCGGCCGCCGCAUUAAGACUGUAUUAGAUUACAGGCCGCACACAGAAAUAACACUGCAGGCUUUGACUUUAUCCCAGCAGAAGAAAAAAGUACUGCCACCUGUUCUGAGAGUCACUCAGUGAGGGGCAGAAAUCACCCGCAUGAUGAUCAGUGUCUCUACCUGAUCCAUGGAUGAUAUUCUCUGAUGUCACAUCCUGUUCUGAAGAAAACUCUGUUACUUUCAAACAUGAAUCUGCUCUACAACACGCCCCCUCCUGCUAAUUGGCUCACUCUCCUCCCCCAUCAUGAGUGGACACGCCCCCUGCUGAUUGGCUACAAGUGUCCAAUCCACUUUCAACAGCGUUUCUCAGAAAUUGCUUACUGCACCUUUAAAUCUUUUAUUCAAUAUAUUAUGCCUUAUGGAGGAAACAUGAACAUGUACUGACACACACAUUAUAUAUAUAUAUAUAUAUAUAUAUAUAUAU
Molecule: long non-coding RNA, 1186 nt
Organism: Ctenopharyngodon idella (grass carp)
Lineage: Eukaryota; Metazoa; Chordata; Actinopteri; Cypriniformes; Xenocyprididae
Exons: 3
Source: RefSeq, a predicted model, not a curated record